CUAAACGGCCGCGGCACUUAAACCGUGCAAAGGUAGCACAAUCACUUGUCCCUUAAAUGAGGACCCGUAUGAAAGGCAACAUGAGAGGAGAUCUGUCUCCUAAGACUAGCCAAUGAAAUUGAACUGCCAGUACAAAAACUGGUAUAUAAAAGUAAGACAAAAAGACCCCGUGGAACUUUAACAAAUUGAUUACCCUCCCCCCUAAUCAAUAGUUUCAGUUGGGACAACUUUAGAAAAAAUAAACCUCUAAAAAUACCAAGACCAACAAGUCAACCACCACAACACAUGAUCCAGUCGCACUGACUAACGAAACAAGCUACCCCGGGGAUAACAGCGCCACCUUCUCAAAGAGUCCAUAUCAACAAGAAGACCUACGACCUCGAUGUUGGAUCAGGGUACCCAGACGGUGCAACAGCCGUCAAUGGUUCGUUUGUUCAACGACUAACACCCUACGUGA
Molecule: ribosomal RNA, 457 nt
Filed under: Trioceros affinis
Lineage: Eukaryota; Metazoa; Chordata; Lepidosauria; Squamata; Chamaeleonidae
Description: partial 16S ribosomal RNA
Rfam family: Bacterial large subunit ribosomal RNA
Source: RNAcentral